Molecule: ribosomal RNA, 118 nt
Filed under: Candidatus Rokuibacteriota bacterium
Lineage: Bacteria; Candidatus Rokuibacteriota
Source: RNAcentral
GUCGAGGAUCUCCGUAAUCGGGGCCACACCCGUUCCCAUCCCGAACACGGUCGUUAAGCCCUCCAGGGCCGAUGGUACUGCGCUGGCAACGGCGUGGGAGAGUAGGUCGCCGCCGGGG